Molecule: ribosomal RNA, 536 nt
Filed under: Ascidonia quasipusilla
Lineage: Eukaryota; Metazoa; Arthropoda; Malacostraca; Decapoda; Palaemonidae
Description: partial large subunit ribosomal RNA
Source: RNAcentral
CCUGUUUAUCAAAAACAUGUCUGUUUGUAUUAUCAUAGAUAGUCUGUCCUGCCCACUGAUUAUUUAAAGGGCUGCGGUAAUUUGACCGUGCGAAGGUAGCAUAGUCAUUAGUCUUUUAAUUGAAGGCUUGCAUGAAUGGAUGGAUGAAAAAUAAGCUGUCUUUUUUGUUUAACGAAUUUAACUUUUAAGUGAAAAGGCUUAAAUGUUUUAGUGGGACGAUAAGACCCUAUAAAACUUAAUAUAAUUUUUUUAGUUACGAGAAUAGAGUUUAAUCGUGGCUUUAGGGGGUUAUAUUUCGUUGGGGAGAUGUUUGUAUAAUUUGUAACUGCUUUGUAAAUAGAAUAAUAAUAAUUAGAUUAUGAUCCUUUAAUAAAGAUUACAAGAUUAAGUUACUUUAGGGAUAACAGCGUGAUUGUCUUUGAGAGCCCUUAUCGACAAGAAUUAGUUGCGACCUCGAUGUUGAAUUAAAAUUUCAGGUGGGUGUAGCUGCUGUCCUGSUGGGUCYGUUCGWCCWUUAAAAUUUUAACGKAUUKSCC